CGAGUUGGCUGUACGGUUGCGGGAGAGAAAUCUCACGAGGAAAGUCCGAGCUCCACACGGCAGGAUGCCGCCUAACGGACGGUGAAGGUGACUUUAAGGAAAGUGCAACAGAAAAUUACCGCCGAUUAAUAUCGGUAAGGAUGAAAAGGCGAGGUAAGAGCUCACCGCUUCUGCGGAGACGUGGAAGGCUGUGUAAACCCCAUCCGGAGCAAGAUAGGGGCAGUUUAUAAGAUAGCCGGUCGAAACUGCCUGCAAAACGUCGCUUGAACUUGUCGGCAACGGCAAGUCUAGAUAGAUAACCGUAUUAAAUGACAGAACUCGGCUUAUAGGCCAACUCGUAAU
RNAcentral lists this RNase P RNA (342 nucleotides) under Clostridiales bacterium. Its description in RNAcentral is "RNase P RNA component class A". It matches the Rfam family "Bacterial RNase P class A". From Rfam's summary of the family: Ribonuclease P (RNase P) is a ubiquitous endoribonuclease, found in archaea, bacteria and eukarya as well as chloroplasts and mitochondria. Its best characterised activity is the generation of mature 5'-ends of tRNAs by cleaving the 5'-leader elements of precursor-tRNAs. Cellular RNase Ps are ribonucleoproteins. The record is from RNAcentral. Lineage: Bacteria; Bacillati; Bacillota; Clostridia; Eubacteriales.